AGAGUUUCUUCCUGGCUCAGGAUGAACGCUGGCGGCAUGCCUAACACAUGCAAGUCGAACGGGGUUUAUAUGACGGAACUCUCCGGAGGGAAGAUAUAUAAACCUAGUGGCGGACGGGUGAGUAACGCGUGGGCAACCUGCCCUGUACCGGGGGACAACAGCCAGAAAUGGCUGCUAAUACCGCAUAAGCCUGCUGUGCCGCAUGGCACAGCAGGGAAAACCACGGUGGUACAGGAUGGGCCCGCGUCUGAUUAGUUAGUUGGCAGGGUAACGGCCUACCAAGACAACGAUCAGUAGCCGGCUUGAGGGAGUGGACGGCCACAUUGGGUCUGAGACACGGCCCAGACUCCUGCGGGAGGCAGCAGUGGGGAAUAUUGCACAAUGGGGGGAACCCUGAUGCAGCAAUGCCGCGUGGGUGAAGAAGCACUCCGGUGCGUAAAGCCCUGUCAGCAGGGAAGAAAAUGACAGUACCUGACCAAGAAGCCCCGGCUAACUACGUGCCAGCAGCCGCGGUAAUACGUAGGGGGCAAGCGUUAUCCGGAUUUACUGGGUGUAAAGGGAGCGCAGGCGGCGUGGCAAGUCAGAUGUGAAAACCCGGGGCCCAACCCCGGGAGUGCAUUUGAAACUGCCAUGCUGGAGUGCCGGAGAGGUAAGCGGAAUUCCUAGUGUAGCGGUGAAAUGCGUAGAUAUUAGGAGGAACACCAGUGGCGAAGGCGGCUUACUGGACUGUAACUGACGUUGAGGCUCGAAAGCGUGGGGAGCAAACAGGAUUAGAUACCCUGGUGGUCCACGCCGUAAAC
Molecule: ribosomal RNA, 800 nt
Filed under: uncultured bacterium
Lineage: Bacteria
Description: bacterial SSU rRNA
Rfam family: Bacterial small subunit ribosomal RNA
Source: RNAcentral